This 550-nucleotide ribosomal RNA is filed under the name Parlatoria camelliae. RNAcentral's name for it is "eukaryotic LSU rRNA". The record is from RNAcentral. Lineage: Eukaryota; Metazoa; Arthropoda; Insecta; Hemiptera; Diaspididae.
AUCUGGGCGGCGGAAUUCAGGAUGGCGGGCGCGUCUUCGCGGCGCGUUCGUCGUUUGAUAUUUCCGUCGCCGACUCAACCCGCAGACGUCGCGACCUGUUCGCGGUCGGUCCUUGCUCGGAGGAGUCACGUUCGAGUUUGUUGCGUGCGCGUUUCUGCGCGUUACGCGGCAAAGGCGUGAAUCUCUGGCUGGCCGUCGGACAGUACGCUUAACGGUGUCCGGUGUCGUCGUCUCGUACGCGCGCGCACCGGUACCGGUCGGCGACGAAUUCUUCGGGCCUCUUUCCGACCCGUCUUGAAACACGGACCAAGGAGUCUAACAUGCGCGCGAGUCGCGGGGUGUCGAGCGCAUCACGGUGCGUUCGUUACAUUGCGAAACCCGUACAUGUUGAAGGCGUAAUGAAAGUAAAUGGGGAAGAUGGUGUUCCGAGUACACGUUCCGCGGUCAUUGGUACCGCGGCCGGACACCCGCAUUCCCGGGGCGUCUCAACGGCCCGUCGCGGAUGCGGGCAGUCGUCUCUCGGGGCGGCUGUCGGUCUGCGACGAACCGA